Molecule: long non-coding RNA, 1080 nt
Filed under: Citrus sinensis (sweet orange)
Lineage: Eukaryota; Viridiplantae; Streptophyta; Magnoliopsida; Sapindales; Rutaceae
Description: long non-coding RNA (CSIN_LNC004659)
Source: RNAcentral
AAGUAAUUGCAAUUGUGUUAGUAUCAUUGUUAUGCAUUGUUUCAAAUAAAUAAAUAGGAAGAUUCAAGCUUGCUUAAUCAAUGAAUUGGCAAGUUUGGUUUUCGGUGUUUGUGGGUGAAUGAAUUGGCAAGUUUGGUUUUAUUCAAGCUUGCUUAAUCAAUGAAUUGGCAAGUUUGGUUUUCGGUGUUUGUGGGUGAGAGAGUGAUAACAUUUUUUUUUUGGUCUUCAUAGAUAUAUGCACUUCUAUCAGUAGAAUUGUGUUAAAUCAUAGCCUUUUAGUGAAGUAUUGAACUUACCUUUGUUCUUUCUACUAGUGAUUGCUGGUAGCAAUUGAAAGGAGCAACAAUUUGGCUGUAUUUUGCUUGAUAUGAUGUGAAAUAAAUUUUUUGUUGAAUCAAACCCGGAUGUAGGAAACAUUGCAGUGUAAGAAAGCAGUCCUUUAGGAGCUCGAAACCACAUAAACAGAGAAAAAUCUUGUAGCAACAGUAUCUCUUGUGCUUCCAAGAUGAAGUAUGUGUGUCACUAUUUUCCUCAAAUGGUUACUGUAGUGGAGGUUUGGAUGCUUCUUUGUAUCUUGAUAGCUAGGGGAAAUCUGAAUAAUGUAUGUGCAAAGGGUUCCUUAGAUGCAAAAACAGAGCUGAUUCUUUUAAUGUCUCAGUGUGACCUAAAGCUAUUAAUUGGAAUAAAUGUAGUGCAGGAAUUAUUAUGUUCCUUUUAUGGUUGAUCUGACUGCAUCAUUUUCUGGUUUUACCCAUUAAAUCAAUUUUCUUUUUCCUCUAUUUUAUUUUAUUGUAAUAGUAAAUGUCCUAUAUAUUUUUUCAACUAAGUUUCUAUGUUUUUUCUCAACCCACUACAUUAAUCAUGUCAAAAUUGCAUUCUUCAGGAGUCUAUAUGAAAGUUAUAGUCAAACGCAGGAAGGUAAAUUGAAGUGCAUCAUACAUUAUUUCAAGAGGAUAUGCUCCUGCAUGCCUGUUGGCUUUGUCUCUUUUGAGCGGAAAGUUCUUCCUCAGGACUGUCAUCCUCUAAAAUUUGUAUAUAAAUAAAAGAUCGUCAUUGUCAUUGUCAUUUGAAAAAAAAAAA